Molecule: transfer RNA, 85 nt
Filed under: Neisseria gonorrhoeae
Lineage: Bacteria; Pseudomonadati; Pseudomonadota; Betaproteobacteria; Neisseriales; Neisseriaceae
Description: tRNA-Leu
Rfam family: tRNA
About the family: Transfer RNA (tRNA) molecules are approximately 80 nucleotides in length. Their secondary structure includes four short double-helical elements and three loops (D, anti-codon, and T loops).
Source: RNAcentral
GCGGACGUGGCGAAAUUGGUAGACGCACCAGAUUUAGGUUCUGGCGCAGAGAGGUGUGAGAGUUCGAGUCUCUCCGUCCGCACCA